CCCUUAGAUGUCCUGGGCCGCACGCGCACUACACUGAGUGUCUGAGAUACGAGUCUGCCUGGUCCGGCAAGGUCUAGGUAAUCGCUAAAAGACACAUCAUGCUUGGGAUAGAUUAUUGCAAAUAUUAAUCUUGAACGAGGAAUUCCUAGUAAGCGCAAGUCAACAGCUUGCGUUGAUUACGUCCCUGCCCUUUGUACACACCGCCCGUCGCUACUACUGAUUGGAUGUUUAAGCGAGGUUCUCGAACUGCUAGCGACUUAGCUUCGGUGAGGUCGCAGUGUGGGAAGUGAACCUAGCUUUGGUGUCUAGAGGAAGUAAAAGUCGUAACA
Molecule: ribosomal RNA, 329 nt
Filed under: uncultured eukaryote
Lineage: Eukaryota
Description: partial 18S ribosomal RNA
Rfam family: Eukaryotic small subunit ribosomal RNA
Source: RNAcentral